Molecule: small RNA, 52 nt
Filed under: Mus musculus (house mouse)
Lineage: Eukaryota; Metazoa; Chordata; Mammalia; Rodentia; Muridae
Source: RNAcentral
GGAAAGUGCUCACAUACAAAUUAAGAAAGGUUUCAGACAAAAUAAAAAAGAA